GUAUAAUCAUCCUUUUGAAGAUGAUUUACUUAUCUCCAUGGAAACUCUCACUUACAGUACGCCUGACGGACCAAAAUCAUGGGAGGAUGUGUCAACCGAGGACCUUAGAAAAUGGCAGGAGGAAGUAGUUGAGUGUAACAGAGGAAGUGAAAGGAAUGCAGAAAUGUCAAAGCAAGAUAACAGUGAUUUUGAGGAUGGACAUUCAACGGGACAUCAGGUAU
Molecule: long non-coding RNA, 221 nt
Organism: Columba livia (rock pigeon)
Lineage: Eukaryota; Metazoa; Chordata; Aves; Columbiformes; Columbidae
Exons: 4
Source: RefSeq, a predicted model, not a curated record